AUUCCAGCUCCAAUAGCGUAUAUUAAAGUUGUUGCAGUUAAAACGCUCGUAGUCGGAUUUCGGGGCGGGCCGACCGGUCUGCCGAUGGGUAUGCACUGGCCGGCGCGUCCUUCCUUCCGGAGACCGCGCCUACUCUUAGCUGAGCGGGCGCGGGAGACGGAUCGUUUACUUUGAAAAAAUCAGAGUGUUUCAAGCAGGCAGCUCGCUCUUGCAUGGAUUAGCAUGGGAUAAUGAAAUAGGACUUUGGUGCUAUUUUGUUGGUUUCGAACACCGAAGUAAUGAUUAACAGGGACAGUCAGGGGCACUCGUAUUCCGCCGAGAGAGGUGAAAUUCUCAGACCAGCGGAAGACGAACCACUGCGAAAGCAUUUGCCAGGGAUGUUUUCAUCG
Molecule: ribosomal RNA, 389 nt
Filed under: Syracosphaerales sp.
Lineage: Eukaryota; Haptophyta; Syracosphaerales
Description: partial small subunit ribosomal RNA
Rfam family: Eukaryotic small subunit ribosomal RNA
Source: RNAcentral